Molecule: long non-coding RNA, 730 nt
Organism: Manduca sexta (tobacco hornworm)
Lineage: Eukaryota; Metazoa; Arthropoda; Insecta; Lepidoptera; Sphingidae
Exons: 2
Source: RefSeq, a predicted model, not a curated record
GCACGUGCACUGAGCGUACUCUGACUUUAGCAUUGUACUUAUGAGUGGGGAUUUGUGUCCACGUUGGUAAUAAGUGAAUGUAACAAUAGUGCCGAUAGAACAUACUAUAUUUACGGUCUUAUUCAUAAUAAAACUAUCAGAAUUAUCGGAAGUUUAUCUGGGCGUUAUCGGAGGCAUGUAAAAAAUUGGUAUUCAUAAUGGUUCAAUUGCGCUAAAAGUCUCCGAUAAAGAUGCUUUAAUUUAUCGAGCCUAACCCCCGUCUUUACACCUAUGUUAAGCGUUCGAUAGCAAAAAAAUGGCUGACGUCGGUCAGCUGUUUCGUGUUUGACGCUUGUUGUGUGUGUGUCAGUCUGUACUUAGAAGUAAACAACAUUUCGAUCAUUUUCGUUUCAAGAAAUAAUUUUAUUUAGUUACGUAUUAAAAAUGCAAGCUAGGCUGCUUUAGGUAGAAAAAUGUCUCGUCAGAAAUUAGAUCCGUUUUCUCUGGAUAAUUAUGAAUUCCGUAAACGGUAUUAUUUUUCCAAACAUACGGCUGCAUUUAUAAGUGACUGAUAGUCCGCGAAGAGUUGCUGUUUCACCGUAUAGGUUGUGGCAGAUCACCAGAAUUGCAAGUAUUAAUAAACUGCAUUGACAUGUUGGGAUCGUCAUGAGAGGAACCCUUGUUAAGGUUGGAAUUUCACCAUGUAAAAGACUGCCCAUCUAUAAUUGGUUGUAUUUUCUACACCCAUAUA